Molecule: non-coding RNA, 24 nt
Filed under: Cricetulus griseus (Chinese hamster)
Lineage: Eukaryota; Metazoa; Chordata; Mammalia; Rodentia; Cricetidae
Source: RNAcentral
UUUGAACCUGGCUACAUGUUGUGU